GCACAAGCGGUGGAUGAUGUGGAUUAAUUCGAUGCAACGCGAAAAACCUUACCUACCCUUGACAUGUCCGGAAUCCCGAAGAGAUUUGGGAGUGCUCGCAAGAGAACCGGAACACAGGUGCUGCAUGGCUGUCGUCAGCUCGUGUCGUGAGAUGUUGGGUUAAGUCCCGCAACGAGCGCAACCCUUGUCAUUAGUUGCCAUCAUUUGGUUGGGCACUCUAAUGAGACUGCCGGUGACAAACCGGAGGAAGGUGGGGAUGACGUCAAGUCCUCAUGGCCCUUAUGGGUAGGGCUUCACACGUCAUACAAUGGUCGGUACAGAGGGUUGCCAACCCGCGAGGGGGAGCCAAUCCCAUAAAGCCAGUCGUAGUCCGGAUCGUAGUCUGCAACUCGACUACGUGAAGUCGGAAUCGCUAGUAAUCGUGGAUCAGAAUGUCACGGUGAAUACGUUCCCGGGUCUU
RNAcentral lists this ribosomal RNA (460 nucleotides) under uncultured Rhodocyclaceae bacterium. Its description in RNAcentral is "bacterial SSU rRNA". It matches the Rfam family "Bacterial small subunit ribosomal RNA", at positions 923 to 1382 of the family's 1533-position model. Lineage: Bacteria; Pseudomonadati; Pseudomonadota; Betaproteobacteria; Rhodocyclales; Rhodocyclaceae. The record is from RNAcentral.